RNAcentral lists this ribosomal RNA (253 nucleotides) under uncultured bacterium. RNAcentral's name for it is "partial 16S ribosomal RNA". It matches the Rfam family "Bacterial small subunit ribosomal RNA", at positions 524 to 776 of the family's 1533-position model. The record is from RNAcentral.
UACGUAGGGGGCUAGCGUUGUCCGGAAUCAUUGGGCGUAAAGCGCGUGUAGGCGGCCCGGUAAGUCCGCUGUGAAAGUCGGGGGCUCAACCCUCGGAUGCCGGUGGAUACUGUCGGGCUCGAGUACGGAAGAGGCGAGUGGAAUUCCUGGUGUAGCGGUGAAAUGCGUAGAUAUCAGGAGGAACACCCGUGGUGCAGACGGCUUGCUGGACCGUGACUGACGCUGAGGCACGAAAGCGUGGGUAGCAAACAGG